AUUGAACGCUGGCGGCAGGCCUAACACAUGCAAGUCGAACGGUAACAGGAAUCAGCUUGCUGAUUUGCUGACGAGUGGCGGACGGGUGAGUAAUGUCUGGGAAACUGCCUGAUGGAGGGGGAUAACUACUGGAAACGGUAGCUAAUACCGCAUAACGUCGCAAGACCAAAGAGGGGGACCUUCGGGCCUCUUGCCAUCGGAUGUGCCCAGAUGGGAUUAGCUAGUAGGUGGGGUAAAGGCUCACCUAGGCGACGAUCCCUAGCUGGUCUGAGAGGAUGACCAGCCACACUGGAACUGAGACACGGUCCAGACUCCUACGGGAGGCAGCAGUGGGGAAUAUUGCACAAUGGGCGCAAGCCUGAUGCAGCCAUGCCGCGUGUAUGAAGAAGGCCUUCUGGUUGUAAAGUACUUUCAGCGGGGAGGAAGGGAGUAAAGUUAAUACCUUUGCUCAUUGACGUUACCCGCAGAAGAAGCACCGGCUAACUCCGUG
Molecule: ribosomal RNA, 490 nt
Filed under: uncultured bacterium
Lineage: Bacteria
Description: partial 16S ribosomal RNA
Rfam family: Bacterial small subunit ribosomal RNA
Source: RNAcentral